Molecule: long non-coding RNA, 1676 nt
Organism: Anser cygnoides (Swan goose)
Lineage: Eukaryota; Metazoa; Chordata; Aves; Anseriformes; Anatidae
Source: Ensembl
GGGGGGGGCAGGAGGUGCCCGAGGACCCUGCCCCUUUUUUUUGGGGGGGGGGAGGCACUGCGGACCAACAGGGCGCUGCCCCGUGGGACUCUCACACCCCCCGCGGCAUCAGGGAUGUGCUGGGGCAGAGCCCCGAGAAGCACUGCAGCCCCCCCUGUACAGCCCCUUUGCACCACUGCAACCCCCCCAUGCACCUUUACAGCCCCCCCACGCACCUUUACAGCCCCCCAUGCACCAUUGCAAACCCCUCAUGCACCUUUAUAAACCCCCCCAUGCACCGCUGCGACCCCCCUGCACCGUUGCAACCCCCCCACAAUUGCAGCACCCCUCUGCACCGUUGCAACCCGCCCAUGCACCACUGCAACCCCCCUGCACCUUUACAACCCCUUUGCACCAUUGCAACCCCCCCCUGCACCAUUGCAGCCCCCCCAUGCAUCUUUGCAAGGCCUCUAUCACACUGCCGCAAGUCCCACAAGAACAUUAAAAUCCCCCCACAUGCACCAUUGCAACCCCACAAGCACCACGGCACGCCCCGUGCACUGCUGCAAGUCCCACAAAUACCAUUAAAAUCCCCCACAAACACCACUGCAACCCCACAAACACCACUGCAGCCCCACGAGCACCACUGCAGCCCCACGAGCACUGUUGCAGCCCCACAAGCAGCACUGCAACCCCACAGGCACCACGGCAUGCCCCGUGCACUGCCGCAAGUCCCGUAAGCACCAUCAAAAUCCCCCACAAACACCACGGCAGCCCCACGAGCACCGUUGCAGCCCCACAUACCCCACUGGAGCCCCACGCAGCGUCACCCCUAACCACACACGACCACUCGCCGCCACGCAGCCCCACAGCCAGCCCCACGGGUCCCUGCCCCACACGUCCCCACGGGCACCACCCCACCAUCUCCCUCCCGUCCCGGCGCCACCAGGCAGGGCCUCGGCUCGGGCUGAGCUGAGCUUUAAUGACGGACAAGAAGCAAAGGCACGCGUGGCACGGCCCCGGGCCGGCGUCUCGAGUCGCAGCCGUCACGGCCGGGCCGGGGACCCACCGGGGACCCCCCCCAGCACCAUCCGGAGAGGGAAGGAGAGGCACGGCCACCGGGGCGGUGGGCGAUAAGGCACCGGGCAGAGGCGAGGAGGGCGUCGGGUUAAGGCACCGGGCGGAGGAUUGGUCCCUGUUAGAGGCACCCCAUAGGGGCAGCAGGAGCUGGAGGCGCUUCGCGUCCCCGUGGGGCCGUGGCUCCUCCGCUCCGCGCCGCGGCUCACACGGGCGCCACGUAAUUGCCGGGGAAAGUGCCGAAUUUCUGCGUCCUCCUGGAGACGCCUGGGGAGAAAGGCGAGGGGAGGGCGGUGAGGCCGGCGGCGGCCCCCCCCCAAGCCCCGAGCCGUCCCCAGCCCGUCCCCGUCGGCCACGCACCCACGAACCAGCCGUCGUCGCACUGCUGCAUGACGUCCACGCGGUCCCCUUCCUGCAGCUCCAGCUCGUCGGCGUUUUGGGGCCGGUACUGGUAGAGCGCCCGUUACGGGGUCCACUGGAUUUCGGAGCCGUUGUAGGACGGGGCGGGUGCAGGGGGGGUGCUGGCGGGUGCCCCCACGGCUGGGCGCUGCGGGGGGAGAGAAGGGAGAGGUGUUAUGGGGCAGCACCCGCAGUCCUAAUAGGGUUAUGGGGUGGGGAUG